RNAcentral lists this ribosomal RNA (253 nucleotides) under uncultured bacterium. RNAcentral describes it as "partial 16S ribosomal RNA". It matches the Rfam family "Bacterial small subunit ribosomal RNA", at positions 524 to 776 of the family's 1533-position model. The record is from RNAcentral.
UACAGAGGUCUCAAGCGUUGUUCGGAUUCAUUGGGCGUAAAGGGUGCGUAGGCGGCGCGGUAAGUCGGGUGUGAAAUCCCUCGGCUCAACCAAGGAAGUGCAUCCGAAACUGCUGAGCUUGAGUACUUAAGAGGAUCGCGGAAUUCCCGGUGUAGAGGUGAAAUUCGUAGAUAUCGGGAGGAACACCAGUGGCGAAGGCGGCGAUCUGGGAAGAUACUGACGCUGAGGUGCGAAAGCGUGGGGAGCAAACAGG